RNAcentral lists this long non-coding RNA (725 nucleotides) under Equus caballus (horse). Its description in RNAcentral is "lncRNA (ENSECAG00000044969.1)". The record is from RNAcentral. Lineage: Eukaryota; Metazoa; Chordata; Mammalia; Perissodactyla; Equidae.
GUUGCUUGUUUCUUGCAGUCAGUCUGUCUUAACUGAGAUAGCAUCCUGUUCCCUCUGCCAGAAAUGCCUUUUUAUCCUUGUCCAAAAACUCAAUCUCAUCUUUUACUGGUCAUCGGUCAAGCUGCCCCUGACCACCCCUGACUGUUGCAUGCAAUAAAUUAUUUACUGAAUAAUCCUACAUCACACAAUGUUCACGUGCCCCACCCCUCUCUGCAAGGCUAGCCUUCCUGCUGAGGGUGGUUUGAAGACCAGAGGUUUGAGCAAGGAGAGCUGCAGAGGUAAGGCGCCAUAAGCCAUGAGACGCACCUGUUCCAGCAAAGAGAUGCGGGCACAGCACCUCAUUUCUAGGUAGACCACCCCUCUUUGCCACCAUGGAUGCGAUGGAGGCUGACACCACCAAGAUUGUGGAAACCUGGAACCAAAGGAUCCCCUAAAUAAACUGGCAUCAGAUGGAAGGUGUAACUCGCUUCGGUGCACCAGGAAGAGGUCAAGGCUCCAAGCUGCCGUGAAACCACGUAAAAGUUACCAUCCUGAAUUGCUACAAAAAUUUUUGCACCACAGAGAUUCCGAUUUACAUUGUAUGUUAACAUACCUAAAAAUCCUCAAGUUUAUAUAUAACCCCUCUCCAAGUCAGGCUCACCUUUUAUAACAAUACCAAACUCUAUCAUAGAUUUUAUCUCCUUUGGAUUUCUACUUAUACCCCCCCACCCCUUUGAAGCUCCCCU